RNAcentral lists this ribosomal RNA (777 nucleotides) under Brevibacillus borstelensis. Its description in RNAcentral is "bacterial SSU rRNA". It matches the Rfam family "Bacterial small subunit ribosomal RNA", at positions 41 to 790 of the family's 1533-position model. Lineage: Bacteria; Bacillati; Bacillota; Bacilli; Caryophanales; Paenibacillaceae. The record is from RNAcentral.
GGUGGGGCAUCUAUAAUGCAGUCGAGCGAGUCGCUUCGGGGGCUAGCGGCGGACGGGUGAGUAACACGUAGGCAACCUGCCCGUAAGCUCGGGAUAACAUGGGGAAACUCUUGCUAAUACCGGAUAGGGUCUUCUCUCGCAUGAAAUGAGACGGAAAGGUGGCGCAAGCUACCACUUGCUGAUGGGCCUGCUGCGCAUUAACUAGUUGGGGGGGUAACGGCCUACCAAGGCGACGAUGCCUAACCCACCUGAAAGGGUGACCGGCCACACUGGGACUGACACACCGGCCACACUCCUACGGGAGGCACUCCUACGGAAUUUUCCACAAUGGACGAAAGUCUGAUGGAGCAACGCCGCGUGAACGAUGAACGUCUUCGGAUUGUAAAGUUCUGUUGUCAGAGACUAACAAGUACCGUUCGAACAGGGCGGUACCUUGACGGUACCUGACUAGAAAGCCACGGCUAACUACGUGCCAGCAACCGCGGUAAUACGUACGUGGCAAGCGUUGUCCGGAAUUAUUGGGCGUAAAGCGCGCGCAGGCGGCUAUGUAAAUCUGGUGUUAUAGCCCUGGGCUCAACCCCCGGCUGCGUAUCCCAGACUGUGUAACUUGAGUGCAGAAGACGUAAAGCUGCUAUAUCCACGUGUAGCGAUUUACAUGCGUAGAGAUUGUGGAGGCAACACCAUUGGCGAAAGCAGCUUUCUCGUCUGUACUGACUCUGUAUGUACUAAGCGCUGGAGGAGCAAACGAUGAGAUACGCCGGGGAUAUUCACACCCGG